CGGCGCCGACGACGGCGGCGGAAUGGAUCAUCGAUCGACGAUCAUCAGGUCGUCGUUUCGGUUUAGCUCACCCUGGAGCAGUCGGUGGAGGUGCUGAUGGUGUAGGGGAUGCUGACGCCGCACUUGGAGGGGAUGCUGGCGGCCUUGCCGACGUUGAGGCCGCGGAUGCCACGGGCGGCGUUCUUGAGGCAGUUGCAGGCGGCGCGCCUGUCGGCGGUGGUGCGGGCGGCGGAGUUGAGGCUCCUGACGCCGCUGCAGCAGCCUGCGGAGGGUCCAGAGCCCUGGCCGCGGGCGUAGGACAGGCAGGGCCCGAUGGCGGAGCUCACCUGACCGCAUGUCACGGCGGCCUCCGAGGUCGUCGCCGCCAGCACCACCGCCGCCACGACGGCGAUCGCCACAGCAAGCUUCAUGCUGCGAGCCAUGUCGAUCUCGAUCGACCUCCUGUGAUAUAUGUGCUGAUGCUCGUAGGUGACUGAUAGCUUUUGGGAUGCAGUGAGUGAGCAAGUGCUAGCUGGUGAGGAGAUUGCAAUGGAAUGUUGCUCCUUAAAUAGGCAGGCUUUGUGAUCGAUGUGUGAGCUAGCUAGCGAUUGCUGAUGAGUGAUGUGCAUGCAUGGGAUGGGUGUGCAUGCUGUUUCAGUCGGUGGAUGCAUGCAUAUGCGUAUAUGUCCAUGGAUCGAUGGUAUCUCUCGCCAUGCAUCGAAGUUAACUGCUGGGGAGGAGGUGGUUGGGUGUUGAGGGAGGAGGGCAGAUGCUUGUUUAGUUGUUGUAAUACCCGAUUUUAAGGACAAAACCAGAUAUGCACCAUAUGUGAGUUUUAAAAGCCAAAUCUCACAUAUAGCUACAAAUAAGGGGUAAUAUCAAAAGACAAUGCAAAAAUUAUAUAACGUACAUAAUAUAAAAGAGAUAACCUUUGAUAGCAAACAACGGAUAGACAACUCCAAACUCCGGGUAUUAACUUCUCUCUACAGGAUCCAACUGACUGGUUGAUCACAAGCCUAAACUUCUCCUGAGGUUUGGGGGAAAUAGCAAGAGUGAGUCCAUGUCAAACUCCACAAGUAUAGCAACUAGAUUGUAUAGCUCCCACAAUCUCAUGAUCAAUGUGACAUAAAUAAUGUAAAGCAUUAAACAAUAAGCAAUGAGCAUAUUUAACACACAAGAUUCAUCACCCUUAAUGUAGAUGUCCCCAAGGCCGUUCCUGACCGUGAGCUCGGCUAGUAUACUAGUUUUAACACUCUGCAGAGGUUGCACAUCUUUACCCAUGAGUCAUGAUUUACCCUUUCGCCCGAGGUGAUCAGCCUCUUAACCCACUUCCAAGGAAGGUCGGCAGGGAUCACUAUGAAGCCUUUCAAAAGUUCGUCUAACAUGUUAGGGCCGCAAGGUUUCCUUUGCGAGCAGAUAUAGAUACCCCCCUUCCGAAUGGCACAAUGACGCGCAGCCUAUACACAUAGGGACAGGGGCUCGCACUAUACCCGUGUCGGUUCAGCCCCUCCGCCCUUUCGGGUAACCUCUAACAAGCUAGAAAAGGUCUUCAUACUGAGCUAAAGCCAGAGCCAUUAUAGCCCUCAUGGUUGCACUGUUAUCCCGGGUGAUCACGUACAGACAAAUCAUCAAGUUGUUAAAAAGUCAUUUUUACCAUUUAUUACUUAACAUUAAUCUAGUCACAGGAUCAUGGUCACAGAAAUAAAAUCCAAAUGCUAUACUUGCCUCAAUCCAAUUGCUCUUGCUUAUCCUUUUGGUCCUGCUGGUCUCACUUGUUGCCAAAGCUUUGAUCUUGAUCACCGAAACUGCUCUCCGUCUAAACUCGAUCAUCGAUCAUCAACACACAAACAAUCGGACACAACAUACACGUAGCAAACAAGGCUAUAAUUAGAACAGUACACCAAUCAUAUAAAAACAAUAUGAAAAAUUUGUAAAAUAAUUCUACGCAUCGCUACGAUCUCACAGACGUAAAGAUGACGAAAAUCGGAGUUAAAACGGAAAAGAUAUGGAUUUUCUAAGAUUUUAUAUAGAAAAGUAAUUAAUUAAUUAAGGUCACGAAAUUAAAAGGUUUCAAACUGAGUGAACAAUAUUACUAACAUGUAGUGCUCGUGAUUACGAACCUAACACAAUUUCAAUGGACAAAACGGAGUUAAAACAGAGAUGAUAUGGCCUAAAUAAACUAGCGUAUUUUCUUUGUAUUUUUAGGUUUGUUUUUCUAAAGGAAAACGGCAAUAAAACAUGUCUAUGUUAUAACGACGUCAUCAAGCUAGCCAGCAACGUUUAUUCGCAGAUAUAUGUUAGACAUGUACAUCCCUAGAUCGAUUGCUGCGCAGAUAGAAACAUCGCCGGGCGAAACAAAUCAGUGCAUGCACUUGUAGAGGCUUUGUGAAAUUUCUCACACAGGAAUCGACAUAUUAAAGAUGCAAAGUUACCUCUUAUGGUGAUUAUAAGAUUCAAUAGGACAUGCUUGCCGAACGAUGGGUCAGUGGCCACGUCGUCAAGAACAGGUUGAUCUACGGCAACACCUUCUACUCCCGUGCUCUGUUGCUUGCUACUCUUCACGUGGCCAGCGAUUUGGUCUUCUGCUUCUUUGGUCCACAAUCACGAUGGUUCACCGGAACAUGGCAAGCAGCUCUGGCAAGCAGGACGUGGCAAGAGCAGAGCGGCGGCCGUAACAUGGCAAGGGCAGCAUCUAUCUAGGCAUGGCCGACGGCGGCGGCUCUCAAGGGUUUUAAGGACGUAAACACUCUAGACGAAUAUGACGUGUAUAUAUACGUGCGGUCUAGAUCAAGUUUGAUUAGGGUUAGAACUUAUUAUUUUUGGAAUUAAUUAUUUUCAUGGAUAAAAUAAUUAUAGAAAAGUCCAGAAUUAUUAUUUAAACUAUGAAAAAUAUUCUAAAAGCUCUGAAAAUUCGGAGAAAAUUCUCAGAGACAUUAUGGAAUAUGAGGAACUCAAAUAACGUAUUUGGACCUCAUGAUAAGAUAAUUUGGAGCAUCUAAAAAUUAGAUUUAUGCUCAUAGAAAAGUGAGAAUAGAAGAUGGAAAAAUUCCCGAAAAGUUUGUAGAGAUUGCUUGAUGGACGAGGAACUAAAAGAAGUGCUUUGAGUGACAAAGAAAAGAUUUUAGGAAGCUCCUAAUAAAAAAUUGAGCUGAGAAACCAAAGAAUUUGGUUAUAGAUAAAGAUAAAGACGUACUGGUCAAGGAAGAUCUACUAAACGCAUUUUAAAACUUUGCUCACUCAACACAUAAAGGAGCAACAAGUCAACAUCACAUCAAAACAUAUGCACCAGCAUGUAUGCACAACAAUAUUGCUAAGGCUUAUGAUAAAUUUUAAUUUAAUGAAAAUUAUUAUUUUCCUUAUAUUUUCGUGAGCACAAAAUACAAAACUGAAUAAAUUUUCAUCUAUUUUGAAAAGAGCAAAAUUUAGGGUGUUACAGUUGUCAAAAUUUUUUAAAAUUCUCAAUCAAAUUAAAUCUUGGGACACAAUGUAUCAAAUAUUAAAUAUAGAUAAAAAUUAAUUAAUUAUAUAGUUUGUAUAUAAUUUGCGAGAUAAAUUUUGUAAACCUAGUUAAUCUAUAAUUAAACAAAAAUUAUUAAAUAUAAACGGUGCUAUAGUAACUAGAUCCAAAAAUUUUCACCAACUAAGGGCUUGUACAACGAUGGGCGCUUAUGAUCAGGUAUUGGCCGUUAAAUAGUUUUUUUGCCACACGGUGGAGUCCUGAGCGGGCGCUUAAAAAUAGAUUUGCCGCUCCGUAAAGCAUCGACGCCUAGACCGGCUCCUUGCUUGAUACUGGUGUUUGCAUGCGACGUAACGGUCACAACUUAAGCGCCUUCAAAUACGUGUUGUGUUGUAGAUUAAGGUUAUAAAGAGACGCUUAGUUACAAAAGUAUUUUCUCUUUCCAUCUAAGCGCCUUUUGCAUUGUACGUGCUCUAAACAAGGCCACAGAUACAGACAUACAGUGGUUAGCUGAGGCAGAGUGAAAUCAUUAGCAGCAAACAUAUAAUAAAUAGCAGCCGCCUAGCACGACUUAGCGCCACUUAAGUUUUGUUUAGUUACGCUCGAAAUCCAAAAACUUUUCAAGGUUCUCUUCACGUCGAAUUUAGAGACACAUACAUGUAGCACGACUUAGCGCCACUUAAGUUUUGUUUAGUUACACUCGAAAUCCAAAAACUUUUCAAAGUUCCCUUCACGUCGAAUUUAGAGACACAUACAUGAAGCAUUAAAUAUAAAUAAAAAAAUAACUAAUUACAUAAUUUAUCUGUAAUUUGAGAGACGAAGCUUUUGAGUCUAGUUAGUCUAUAGUUGAACAAUAAUUAUCAAAUAUAAAAAAAAAUGUUAUAGUACCAAAAAAAUCUUUUCACUCACGAACUAAAUAAAGGCCCUAAUCUCAUCAUCCGCCUCACUGUUUAAUCGAAUGUCCUUGAUGGCCACCCACAGGCUCACAAAACCUGAGACGGUGAGACCUUGCCUGGGGUAGUAUAUGGGGCCAAUGGCCAAUCCAUUUAUCAGUUUGCCCAAGGCAGGUGGUGGGCCACUCUGUUCAAUUUUGAGUCUAAUAUAUGCAAUAUCUUCUCUUUUGUGCAAUUUUUGUCCGUGGGUUCAAACAAUCCUGCCACCGUGUCACCGGUGGCUGAUCGUGUCAACCCUUCGCCGCAGUCCGCUCCACCACAGUACGGGGGGCCCAGUUGCAGUCUCUGCCACCGCAGUAGGGAUGUUGAACUUGUAAUAAUAAAUAUGUGAGUGCUUUUAAUAUAUAAUGCAUGUUGGUGAUAUAGAUGUGAUAAUUGGCGUGUGUGUAUAUAUAUUGUCUGUUACAAUGGAAUGUAAAAAAUAAAACAAAUACAAUUCUCGGGGUCUUCGCCGAGUGCGGUGCCAGGGUCACUUGGCAAAGCAAUUUAAAAAAACAAUUUUGCCGAGUGUCGGGGCCACGACCACUCGGCAAAGAAUUUUUCUUUAAAAAAGAAAAGACACUUUGCCGAGUGCUGAUGCUAGGGGCACUAGGCAAAGUAUUUUUAAAAAAAACAAAUAUGCGGAGUGCCGCGGCAAGGGACACUCAGCAAAUAUUUUUUUUUUAAAAAAAAAGAAAGAAAAUCUUUGUCGAGUGCCUGAGGCCAGAGGCACUUGGCAAAGCAAUUUUUUUUAAAAAAACUUUGCCGAGUGUUAAGGGGCCAGGGGCACACGGUAAAAUAUUUUUUAAAAAACAAAAACUUUGUCGAGUGUCGUGUCGGGCAACUCGGCAAAAUAACUGUUAACGGCAGAUGCUGUGACGGCCAAAAAUGUUGCCGAGUGCUGUCGUAAGCACUCAGUAAAAUGUUUUUAAUAUUUUGCUAAGUGCCUCGGUAAAAAGCACUCAGCAAAGUCUCUUUGUCGAAAAUUUUUUUGCCGAGCGAACUUUGCUGAGUGCUACGUUCGGCAAAGCCUUUGCCGAGUGCAAAGGGCUCUUUGUCGAAUGUAAAAACACUCGGCAAAGUCCUAAUUUCCAGUGGUGGGUGUGCUGGGACAAUUUAGAAAGCAAGCAACGAUUUCAUUUUGCGUUAGAUCACUCCCAUCCUCGAAGCCUCAGUUUUUUUUUUCAGAAAUAAGUUCCAGCUGUUGCUGCUGAGAACUAAAAGAAGCUUUUCACCCUUGAUUGAUCAAUGGAUUGGCUCUCUAGUUUAACAGGCUUCUUUGUUGUACUCUUUUUGCUCUUUUUUCCUUAGUUUUUUUGUUCCUUAGUUAAGACUCCACCCUACUGCCUCCUUAACUGUUGUGCUUUUUUUUUUGUAAAAGACCUUUUUUAUUAUAAUUUUUGCAUUGUUGUAGGGGUGCAAACCCCUCCAAUCUCCUUCAAAAAAUUCAAAAGUAAUAUAACCUUGCAGAACAAAGGACGGUAAUCCCACCAUUUUGCUAUGUGAGCCCACUCCUCUUAUUUUUUUUACUUUUAUUUUGAUUAUGCCCACUCCUGUUAAGCAGUCAUUUGUUCCAUUCCCUAAAUAUAUUUCUAUUUUUUAGAAUAUUCAAUAAGGCGUAUAUACAUUAUAUUUUAAGAAAUAAACUAUAUUCAAGACAAAUCUACCCACAUCAAUAUUACUUGUAUACAUUCAAAUAAACAUGUAGACAUAAUAAUUCGAUAGUUAAGGUUUCAAAAUGAUUGAAAUAAGACAACUUGAAAUAUGUCACAAUAAAAAAUUAUUUGUGGUCAAAGUUUCUGAAAUUAUUGACUUACGACAACGUACAUCCAAGUGUCACUUAAUUGCUUUGUGAGCAGAGGGAGUAUAUAUUUUGGCAAGUUACCCUCCAUCUAAAAAUAUAAAACACAUGUUUUUAGGACAGUAAGAUUUGACCAAUAGGUGCUUGUGCCAUUAAUAUGCAUAAAUCAUAGAUACUUUUGAAUACAAAUAUCUAGUUACAUCAAUUUGCUACCACAAAAUUGCAAGUAUCUUGGUUAAAGCCAUGUCUAACAAAACAUGAGCUUUGGGAUGGAUAUAUAUCAUAUUGGUGUGUACGUUUAGUAGUCUCUCUUCGUUUCAAUUUAUUAGAUGUUGUUUUGGCUUUUGUAGAUACAAAAAUUUUUUUAUGUAUCUAGAUAACGUUUAUUAUGAUAUAGAUAUAUCGUAUAUCUAUAUGCCUAAAAAACUGAAUAUCUAGAAAAACUAAAAUAACCUAUAAUUUAGGAUAGAGGGUGGUAAUAAUUAUACAUCUUCUGCUACCAAGUCCCUUAAUUACAGCACACAGCUCUGUUUUCUAGUUGCCUUGAUCGUUCAUCAGAUGAAUUAUGUAUUUGAAGAGUAGCGCGUGUGUGGUCAUGUCAUGAAAACGUGCUAGCUAGGUACUUGUUUUAAUUUCCACCGUGUGAGUAUUUUUUUUUUUCAAGUGGCGAGAGUUCAUUAAUUAAAUAAAACCAUUCAAUUUUUCAAAUCACAAUACGUUGUCUGCAAAUCCUCUGAGUCAGCCAGUUUUUCGUUACGUGCUAUACUCCGUCCAUUCUAAAUUAUGUUUUUUAAACUUUUUGGUAUAUUCAUUUUGCUACAUACUAAAAAAAUUAAAAAUAACUUAUAAUUUAGAACAGAAGAGGUAUAUAUAUAGUUGCAUAUAUGCUGACAAGUGUUUGGGGGAGAAUAGAGCAGUAACUCUCUUGACCAAGCGUUUGGGAGUCAUGGAACACAGUCACAUGGCGCAUGCAUGCGUAACAACAAUUUGGAAACAAAGAGAUGUGUGUGUGCAUGUAGCAGUGAUCGAACUAGUACAAACCACAGGAGCGAGAGGAAACGUACACGGACAUAAAUAAUAAACACCGCACAUAGUGCAUGCACUCAAAAAUAAACCCAACAAGCAAAAGUACAUCUCUCACACACACAUGUACACACGCACGUACGUACAUACGCUAAGAUGCAAGCGUAUCACAGCGUACACGACGACACGUACGUACAUACGGAGAGAUUUUUAUUCAGUAGUACGACGUAGCAGUAGUAGACAACUCAUCAUCUCAUCAUAUCAGGCGUAGAUAGAUACUCAUCCAUGGUCGAUGCUCCGGCGCCGAUCGACGACGACGGCGGCGGCGGCGGAAUGGAUCAUCGAUCGAUCGAUCAUCGUUUAGGUUUAGUUCACCCUGCAUGAUCAUGCAUGCAUGGAAGACGAAGCACAAGUUAAUUAAACGACUUGAUAUUCAAGUUGAAUCAGACCAUGCAUGCAUGCAAAGUUGCAAACAACUUGUAGUGAUUGGAUCAUUCAUUCAGAUCAUCACUUAAUUACCUGGAGCAGUCGGUGGAGGUGCUGAUGGUGUAGGGGACGCUGACGCCGCACUUGGAGGGGAUGCUGGCGGCGUUGCCGGCGUUGAGGCCGCUGAUGCCACGGGCGGCGUUCUUGAGGCAGUUGCAGGCGGCGCGCCUGUCGGCGGUGGUGCGGGCGGCGGAGUUGAGGCUCCUGACGCCGCUGCAGCAGCCUGCUGAGGGUGCGGAGCCCUGGCCCCGGGCGUAGGACAGGCAGGGCGCGAUGGCCGAGCUCACCUGCCCGCAGGAGAUGGCCGCCUCCGAGGUCGUCGCCGCCAGCACCACCACCGCCGCCGCCGCCACCACGGCGAUCGCCACAGCAAGCCGAGCCAUGUCGUCGAUGUUCUGGGGGUGUCUGAGACUUGCUUGUACUAGCUUUGGAAUGCAAGUGAGCAAGUGCUAGCCGCUGGUGAGGAGAGUGAGAUGGAGUGUGGCUCCUUAAAUAGGCAGGCUUGCGAUCGAUCUGAUCUGAUCUGAUCUGGGAGCUAGCUACAGUAGCUUGUCAUUGCUGAUGACAGAUGUGCAUGCAUGCACGGUGUUGUUGCAUUGCAUGCAGUUUCAGGCAGGCAGUCGGUGGAAUGGUGGAUGCAUGCAUAUGAAUGAAUGAAUAUGGUGGAUGUUCCAACAUCAUCUUCCAUGGACGACGGACGGUAUCGUCGCCAUCCGUCGAAGUUAAUUGCUGGGCAGGAGGUGGUUGGGUGUUGGGAGCAGGAGGCAGAUAGAUACAGAUAAUACUACAGCGGUUAGUUGAUGAGGGCAUGAUCGAGGCAGAGUGAAUUCAUUUGCAGCAGCAAUAGCAACUUAUUAGGGUAUGUUAUACUAUAACACUUUCGUUUAUAUUUAGCAAUAAAUAUUUAAUUAUAGACUAACUAGACUCAACAAGUACUUUAUCUCGCGAUUUACAUAUACAAACUAUGUAGUUAAUUAUUUUUUUUUUAUUUAUAUAUAUUUUAUGUUUCGUACAUGCGUCUAAAGAUUCGAUGCGACGAGAAAUCUUAUAAACAUUUAGAAUUUUAAAGACAUUUAAACACGCCCUUAAAUAGCAGCCGCCUAACACGACUUAGCAGGCAGGGUGAUGGCGGCAGUCGGCAGGGACGGACGUACGUGGCUCUCAUCUGAUGAAGUUGGAGGCGUAUUCACUCUCUCUCACUAGUGUGUCAGUGUGAGGUAGUUUGCAGUUGGAUCCGAGUGCUUAUCGCACAAUAAACACAUACUCUUCCUGCAUUAAGACGUCAAUUAUAUAUGGAUCGUCCAUCAUCCAUGAAUCCUUCCAGUAGUCUUCGUUAAUUCCUCCCGGCCGCAACCAGAAACAGAGAUAUCAGUACAGUGCAGGAGGUUACAUGCACAUUCACAAAUUGAAGUUGCAGCAGUGGUAGCGAUUAAGUUGUCCAGCAAGUAUGGGAGCCCACAUGUCGCUGUCUCGAUCGGAAGCUCCGCCACGUAUUACAUACAUGCAUCCCGUCCCCAACCUAGCUAGCUACCUCUGUGUGCACAGGCAGGUACCACCGACGGUUUCCCAAAACUCGUAUGUGUCCGACCCUCAAAAACAAAUCUCUCAAUUUUUGUUCAAAACAAACAAAUUUUUUAAAAUUUUAGAUUCAAAAACAAACAACUUUUGACCAUCAAAGAAAAAUACUGCUCUACCUCGAUCCGUUCUAAAAAGAACUUGGGAUUAUAUUCUAGAAAGUAACAGAUAGAUUCGUGUGUAAUGUUUAGAGAUGAGAUCUUGUAUGAAAAGAUUGGUUGAUGCGUAUAGAGCAACUUCAACCAAACUUCUAAAUGAACCUCUACCUUUUUAUAUAAAGGGGCUAAAACUCAAAUAUACUCUCGAACUGAUCCGGUCCCGACGGAGAGGGGCUCCCAUUUAUCUUUCCUCUAGAUGUAUGAGGCGGUGUUUCGGAUGGUUUGAUUCAAUUCCUUGCAGCUGCUAUUCAAUGAUGUCUUAACUGUAGCUCAUUUCUACCACUCUUAAUUAUGUAUGGCGAAGAGAAGAUUAAGCUCCCAAUCGAGUCCGAGUUGGAGGAUUUCGGUGCAACGUGGAGUUUGAUCUCUGCAUGGAUCGUUAAAUCUAAGUUGAGGUCAAUGUUUGUACUACAGAUCAUAGUACAUUGUGGUUGCCCUUGUUUGUAUGAGAUCUAGUGUAGAAUUUGUUGAUACUUUGUUGGCUACACAUUUGAUGGUUCCUUUCACUUAGGUUUCUUGGAUGAGCAGUUGUAAAUGCCAUUGCUUUCAUUAGUCGGCAGUUUGGUGCGCAUAGUGGUGUUCACAUGUGCUAGUUGCUCAUUUAGUGAUUGUGGUUCCUGAAUUAUGUGUUUGAGGUGGAGCACAUUUAGAAAGUAUGGAUUUGCAUUCUUCACUAUCUGUUCAAUUAAUGCCUUAGGUGAUUUCUUCGCAUACCCUUUCGUGAUCGAGCAAUUUGUUCAGACUUGGGUUAGAAGGCAGUAGCACAUGCUCAAACAUUUGCUGCGGUUAGAAUUUGUCGAAGACUCAGUUUUGUUCAUCUGAAUUUGGUGAGACACGAUUUGAACUUCCUAGUUAUUCUUGCUUGCUCGAUUUGGUAGCUUCUUGUGAAGCAUUUGUUGGUGGUUUUGUUAGUGUAUUUGACUUGGUGUUGGAGAUUUGAGCAUUUUGCAUCAUGAUCAUUGGUGUGUUGGCCAUGUUGUUCACUCAUUGGAGUUCACUCAUGAAUUUGUUUCUAGCUUCAUCAUUUGCCAAGUCAAAACAAGCUACCUUCAUGUUGGAGGCGAUAAAUUUGUCUUUUUUAUUAUUUAUUUGAAGAUGAAGGAUUUGAAGAUUGGACUUCCCUCAUCAAGAAUCUUGAUGUGUUCGCUCUAUGGUUCAAUCGUCGCCGAGGUAUAGAAUUGUGAUGUUGCAGCUUCUAAUAACACCAUUUGAGGCUUUACAUUAUGCAGAAUGUUACCUAUAUGUUUGGUUAGGUGUCUAGGAACUUAUUUGUGGUAAUCUGUAACUUUGAGAGCCUUUUAAUGAAAUGCCCAAACCAGCCCAAAAAGGGCAUCCCAAGCUCCCUGCUUCUGUAGGUGCAUGCUCUUCCCCUUUGGGGGGUUGAGAGAGGCCGGGAGAGGAGAUUUGAGGGUGGGGCUUUGUUUUACCAAAUCUGAACAUUAUAGAGUGAAAUCGGAGGGGAUUUAGAGCCUUCGCCAACCUUGUUAGUUCACGCCUCUUGUAUCAUCAUCUUCACAGUGGAUUGCUUGCUCGUCGCCGCCUGUGGUUUUUCCUACAAGGGGUUUCCACAUAAAUCUUAGUCUCUACCUAUGAUUCAGUAUUUAUCUUGCCAUACUUGUUGAUUCAUACCAAUCUUGCUUACAUGGUGUCAUUUCUCCAAGUUCAUGGUGUAUGAUUGAUAUUGACGUAUGAUGCAUACAUGCAUUCUCUUAUAUGUUAAUGAUGGGGAUUGAUGUGUUAGUGAGUUCAUAUUUACAAGUAUACUCAUUAUUGUGAAGUUUGCAUAGCACCAUGUCUGAAGAAUUGAUAAUAUGGGUCUGAUUUGUAUUUUGCACAUAAGGUGUUAGUUGAAAUAUUCAUGAGUAACUAGCUUGCUAAUUUUGAUGUUUCCUCUGCCUCUAUGCGCUUACAAUAAGUUUAUGGAAUAAAUUUUAGAUCCUUAAUUGAUAUUUAUCUUUGGAAAUAGAGGAAGUAAUAAAUGGUCCCAAUUUGCUAGCCACUUGUACAUAGUUAUACUAUAUACAAGCUUAUGCAAGUCAAAAUGUAAAAAACAAGAAGAACCAAGAAACAUGAACAAAAUACAUACAUACACUUAUGCAAGAUGUAGUAUAUAACUUUUAGGACAAUAUUUAUUUUGGCUCUGUUUCACUAGUGGAGUAGCUUUUUCCACUGGUAAAGGUAAAAUUGUUUUAGUUGUUUGGUCAAACAACUUCUCUAAUUCUUAAAAACAAAAAAUGACUAUAAUACUCUUUUUUGGCUGGCCGAGCUUUAAAAUUUUUAUCUUCUUUUUUAUGAAUUCUUCUUUAUGUGGCUACCAUCUGUUUGUCCUCCCCGCUUAUCCCCUGGUGCCCCGACCCGUCCACCUCCGCCUCAGCUUUGCCACCUUCAUCCUCAUCCAGCCACCAGAUGUUUCUCCUCAGUGUUCAUCCCAUGGUCCCCGCCCAUCUCCCACCGGUGACUCCACCCCUCACACCUCAAUGACUCCACCCCGCCCUUGUUACAUCAUUCUUCGUUGUAGUUUUGUUUGCAUCCAAUGACUUCAGUCACCCCCACAACUCUAGCCCCAUGCCACACUUGUCAUGGUGCAUGUAUUUGCCGCACCAUGCCUAUACAAAGAUGGCCCUCAUGACUUGAUGGAAGAGCUAAGCAAAGCCAUUUUUAGCUUCCCUAGAUGUGAGCGCGUGUAAGAUCGUGUUUUCCGAAGUUAGCACGAGGAGUAGCAACAGCUUUCAAGAUGGCAACGGGCCCCGAUCCCCGAUGGGGAUUUCAUCCAUUAGGGGACGAGAACGGGAAAAUUUUGAUCCCCGUAGGGGGACUUCAUGAGAAAGAAGGAUCCUCCAUCAGGUGAAGCGGGGAUGCAAACAUUCUAGGCUUCAUCCUUUAGCCUGACCCAACAAAUGAAAUAGGUCCAGUUUCUAACACCUAAAAAAAUCAUAUAAAAGCAAGAGCAUUUGUAACCCUAGUGAUCCACCAUUGCUUCUAGGCUUCUAGCUGAGUUGUCACUUCCACCGGUCCUCCUCCACUCCUCCUGUAUGCCUCUAAAGUCCAAGCUCAUCCUAUCUCCCUCUCUCCCCUCUACCCUCUGUCUCGCACCAACGACGUUGUGGUGGCGGUGAUGCUUGCGGGCUGUGGCCACAUGCUCUGGUAAGCAAGCACUGCUCUAGGGUUGAACCUGACAACAGCGGAGCCACGGAUGAGGUGUUCAAGGGAAGACGUGAAGGGCAACACCAAGGGGUUUAUCGGGGAUAGAGACCCCGCCGAGUGUGUAAUCUCGGGGACAGGGAUGGGGAAAUCUGGUACCCAGGUGCAGGGAUAGGAACAGGGACGGGGAGCGGGGUGUUUUUCUUUUCUCAUGGUCAAAACGUUCAAGCAAAACCUGACGGGGAUAGCCCCGUUGCCAUCUUUAAACGGCUCUCCUUCACCUGUUCGGUAGACGAACACGUAGACCAACUCUAGGAGCAGUUUGAUUUACAUUUCCUGACGGUUGACGGAGUUAGUAAUUAAUUACGUAAGAGUAGUUGAAGGAGCUUCCCGGCACCAUAUACUUGCGAGUGAUAUGCAGGGGUUACAAUAAUUACAGUUUACAAUGCUCGUCUCUUUAAUUAUGCGACGGGACGUGACGAUGGCCCAGCGGCUCAGCUGCAUGCAUGGAUCAAUCGAUCGAUCGCCAAUUAUCAAAAAAACCAAUCGAUCGACAGCUAGGUAAACUACCAGCUGCGGAUUAUAAAUUAUUCACGCUCAUCAUAUACAUAUAUAAUUAUAUAUACACGUACGUACGCUUCUGAGUACGAGCGACGAAAGUGUGGUGCAAGUGCAGCGUACAUGCCGGUACAGCGGCCAUCAUAUCAAGAUAUGUAUCCAUCUCCUACUACUGUACACAUUUGUAUCCUUACGGAGAUACAGUAUAUCAAGAUCAUCCUCUGACUCACUGCAUAGUCUGCACCGCAUCACGUACGUGCCGAAUACGUACAAGACUGAUUCAUGCUACAUAGUACGUGCGCCACACUCCUCGAUCGAUCGGUACAUCUUCACGUGUCCAUGUUCCUCAUCAACGAAUUAAUGCAUUUGUUUUCACAUGCCGCAUGCAUGAGAGUCGUCGGUCGUGGUGCCACUGUGCACACAUGCUUGAGUCCUUUGCUUUUCCUGUGCUCCAAUUCUUUUUUUCCAUAUACUCUACUCCCCGUCCCAAAAAAAGUGUCGUUUUAGAAUUUCAAACAUCUUAUUUGAUCAUCCAUUUUAUUCAAAAUUUUUACAUAAGUAUUAUAAAUUUUGUUAAGACCUAUUUAUCAUUAGAGAUACUUUACUAAUGAUUUAUUUAUUUUAUAAUUUACACAAAAUUUUUGAAUAAGACGAACGAUCAAACACGAUUUCUAAAAAUAAAAAACGUCACUUUUUUUAGAAUGGAGGGAGUACAUUAUUUUCAGAUGCCCAUCCUAGAGUAUGUAGUACCAUUCCAUGUAACAGCUAGUACCUUGUACCUAGGAUGGAGUACGUACUACUCGUGCUUGCAGUAGCGCGCGAAAGUGGACGACAGCACGCCCAUACGGCCAUCCGCUCACCAUUGUCUACAUCCUAGCUUUCUACGUACGUGUGUACCUGUACAUAUAGUCAUAAACCUAUAUCUACAUUUUUUAAUAAUAAUUUAUAUCCAUACCCUAAUAAUUUUAAUAAUAAUGAAUAAUAAAAGAAGCAAAAAAUUUCCCAUCCCUCCUAUUACUGCUUUAAGUAAAAAAAAAGACCUUCACGGACGCGGCAACACUUGUGUUAGGAUGAAAGAUAGAAAUGAGGCACAGCCAAUCUGUCGUCUUGUGAUGAAUUACGAAAAGAAUAUUUGUCAUCAGAUCAGUAGUAGAAUUAACAAUCACACGUAGAACAGACACAAUGAUUUAUGUGAAAGACCUUUUCAAGGCAAGAAGUAAAAACUAUGGAACCAAACGCUCUACUCCAAGCUUCCACUAUAAGUACAAUGAGUGUAGAAGGAGUUUUAUCUAGGGAAUCUAGAGUUAACCAGCGAUAACACAUUCAUCAAAUUACAAACUUGCCAUCAGUUAGAACCACAACCUUCUAACAAUAAGAGGAAUGACAACAACGAAGUAAAGAACUCAUAUAUUUUGUUCCCCUUUGGUAUCAAUUUAUAUCUCAAACUAUAGCUUUAUUGUGCAUUAAUUUUGAAAUGCAUAUAGAUCCACAAGUCCCCUAGCCACUGAUCAAGUUUUAGCUCAAUUGGACACCAUUUCACCAUCCAAAACAAUCAUCUACCAAAAUUUCUCUCUGUCUUGAAACUUAGUAACCAGAGCUGACAAAACAUACCCUUUCAAAUCUGGUGCUCUAAUCAACCGAUCCUCAAACCAACUGAACAUAUCAAACUAACCUAAUUGAGGAAUGAGCUAACCAAGUUUGGUCCCAAUCCAUCUAUGUUUGAGCCUACAAUCACUGGCUUUAAGAUGGCUGGUUAGAGCCACCAAAUCUCGAUAGAUUUGGUUCUUCUUAUUGUUCCUCCUCUUUGUCUAUCACGUUGUGGUGUUCUUGUGUUUCUCAACACCCCUCUCUUAGCUCCAACAACUAAAGGAAUAAAAGCUAGGGUUUUUAUUUUUAGUUUCCAAUUAAGAUUGAUCUUCACCGUUGGUUCCAACUAAAAUCAACAACUCACAAGAACUAGCCUCAGAGUUAUAUUUUCAGCUGCUUUGCGGAGCUCAAGAUCAUCCUCUAUAUGAAGGGACAGACUAGCACUUGUGUCAUAGCUUGGUCGACUGAGCUUGAGAUCCAACGGUGGGGUGGUGGGGCUCUAGAGCCCCCUCCUACGGCUACUGGACCUAUGGAGUCUCCAUAGGAAUUUUUUAUCAUGGAUGCACUUGAGGAGAGGCUGAAGCUAUCUAAAGGUUUAAAGAAAUCUCCCUAGACAUUUUUGCUAGAUCCGUUCCUAUAUGUGAUACAACCAGUGCAUUCAAUAGCCAGUAGCCACCAAAUCACUAGAAUUUAUUUGAUUUAAUUAAAGUAAAGUUUGGUUCCAACUAAAUUAAUAAAUUUAAUAAAAUGAUUAGUUUAUUAUCAUCUACUUUGGUAGAUCCAGACAAUCGCACGAGAAGUUGUAGGUGUGUACUUGUGUUACAGCACAGCAGCAUAUAUGAGCAUAUUCGUUAUGCCAAUAUUAUACACAAAGAAAAAGAGUCAUGGACGAGGCGGCAAUUGCUGUCGGUGGAUGGCUACCUUUCGGAAGCUAGCCACCGUACACACUCUUUUGGCCGGCCGGCGUCGGCGUGCUGCCAAGUGCAACCUCCCCAACGCUAAGCAGGUAGUGAUAUUAAUGCCGCUGCCGGUGAGGCUCGUCGUCGUCGUCGUCGUCGUCGUCGUGUGACACAAACAAGUCUACCAUCACCCAGAGUGGUCCCGGACACUGUAGGACACGCGUAGUGUAUGUACGCAAUGUCGUCGUCUGCUGCCCUGCUCAACGAUGUGUUCUAACUUUAUUACACGGUACCUGUACGAGGGUAGCAGCAGCUGCUCGGCUGCUGCAGGUGGAUCAUGCACACGCGCGCAACUCCAACACUACCCUAAACUUCACUUGGCAAAUCUUGAAUUUUGCAAAGUGUAAAACUCAAAUGCCAAGUGAAAAAAAGAGGCUUCUGUUAGCUAUUUCUUUUGACAAAUUUGGACUAUCUUGUGAUUCCUGAAAAAAUCAGAGAGACUUUUAUACAAAAGUUGCAAUCUAUUUAAGGCAUGCGUGCAUGCUGAAUGUGUGGGUCCCACCGCGUAGGCAGGAUGCCAAGCGCUCCCAACGCUCUUAAAUUUGAGCCAGUUGGCCCUCUUUUUGCCAAGCAUCCUAUUUUGCCAAGUGCAUAUAGAGUAGUGUUGGAGGAGCUUUUCCAUGUUUUGCCAAAAAUUAGGAUUUGCCAAGUGCAUAUAGGGUAGUGUUGGAGUUGCUCUAAGGACGUCCAGAACAGCCAUCUAAGGUCUCUUUGGUUGGACUUUUGAACCUGCUUUUGCUUUUGUAAAAGCCAAAAUCCAACCAAAGGGCCCAAAAGCCACAAGUGCUUUUGCCCAAAAGCAGCUUUUCUCGUAGUACAAAUCCAAAAGCACCUCACCCCCUGCUUUCACUGACUUCUGGGAUCCGUUCAGUUUUUUUUUCCAAAAGCCACGAGUGACCAACCAAAUGACUUUUGGGUUUCUCAAAGCCCACAUCCCACAGUAGCUUUUCAAAAGCUCAAAGCUCACAGUAGCUUUUCCAAAAGUCACAUCCCAAUCAAACACACCCUAAGGCCUUGUUUAGAUCCAAAUAAUAGAUCUACAGGAUCUACUAGCAAUAGAAAGAACAGGGAUUCGGGAUACAUAAGUAACAUAGACAGUAACAUAAAUAUGCACACUAGAUCUAUUACAUAGGGAAUAGAAACAGGUAGAUCUAGAGUAUAGGGAUUCGACCGUCGUUGGCGGCGGGUGUAGAUCCAGUGGGGUCCAUGGCGAGGGCGUUGACGCGGUGACGGAGUAGAUCCCGUCGUCCUUCGGGCCUCCACCGGCACUGACCGACGACGGCGGGGUAGGAGUAGAAGGGUGACGGCGCGGUGGUGCUUCCCGACGCCACUGCGCACUGUCGAUCGGCGACCUAGGGUUGUGAGUAGGGUUUGGCGGCGCACGACGAACUUCGUGUUGUGUGCCAGUAGCCCCCUACUCCUAUAUUUAUAGCGCAGCGCGUCGGGGGCCCACCAACGAUAGAUCGAUUGGACGCCCCCGAUCAGGGCGCGAUCCAGGGGGAAAGGCCCCAGCCGUUGGGCUGGGCCUGAGAUCAAUAUAACAUUCUCCCUCUUGAUCUCAUCUGUGCUUUCUCGCUUUGUCAACUCACCCCGUCACAAAUCAGUGUAUUGAGCAUGCUUCAUCUUAGCAGUUAUCACUGCUAGAUUAGACAGCCACAAACACUUUUCUGUUUAGAGAUGAAUUCUCGCCUUGGGCCCCUUGCUAUCCAGGAAUCACAGGCUUUCCCUUAAACCCAUGUCGGCUACAUGUUCUCUGAACAUACUGGGCGGUAAGCCUUUCGUAAGCGGAUCCGCUAGCAUCUUUUCUGUGCUUAUAUGUUCAAGACUUAUGAUGUGAUCUCGGAUUUUAUCCUUGACAACAUAAUAUUUUAUGUCAAUGUGCUUGGCGGCAUUGCUUGACUUAUUGUUGUGAGCAUACAACACUGCUGGCUCGUUGUCACAAUACAACUUUAGUGGUUUAUCGAUGCUGUCGACCACCUUUAAACUGGGUAUAAAUUUCUUAAGCCAAUUCACCUGUCCUGAUGCCUCAUAACAAGCAAUAAACUCAGCAUACAUUGUGGACGAUGCAGUGAUUAUUAUUUGUUUUGAGCUCUUCCAUGAUAUGGCUCCUUGCACGAGAGUGAAUAUAUACCCUGAGGUAGACUUUCUAUCAUCUUCCGCGUAAUCAGAAUCUGAAUACCCUACUAUUUGUAGGUCAUCAGAUCUUCUAUAGGUUAACAUAUGAGCCCCUUCGUGCCUUGCAAGUAUCUUAAGAAUUUCUUUACUAGAUUCCAGUGUUCCAUACCAGGAUUACUUUGAUAUCUACCAAGUAGCCCGGUCACAAAAGCCAGGUCCGGGCGUGUGCACACUUGAGCAUACUGUAAGCUUCCGACAGCUGAAGCGUAUGGAACGGCUUGCAUGCAAUCGCGCUCGAACUUGCUCUUGGGACAUUGAUGUUCCCCAUACUUGUCACCUUUUACAAUAGGAGCAGGUGAAGGUCUACACUUAUGCAUAUUGAAUUUCUUCAAUAUUUUCUCUAUAUAUGCCUCUUGGGACAAUCCCAAUACCCCUCGACUUCUAUCUCGGUGAAUCUUUAUGCCCAAGACAAAAGAAGCUUCACCUAAAUCUUUCAUAUCGAAAUUUGAGGACAAAAAUCUCUUGGUUUCCUGUAGUAGAGUGACACCACUACUGGCUAGUAGAAUGUCAUCUACAUACAGUACUAGGAAAAUGUAUUUCCCAUUCUUAAACUUUGCAUAUACGCAAUUGUCCUCAACAUUCUCUUUAAACCCAAACUUUCUGAUUGUCUUAUCAAACUUUAAAUACCACUGCCUGGAUGCUUGCUUUAAUCCAUAAAUGGAUUUCUUCAGGCGACAACCCAUUCUUUCUUUGCUUGUCACAACAAAACCUUUCGGUUGUGCCAUGUAUACUCUUUCUUCUAGAUCCCCAUUGAGGAAAGCUGUCUUCACAUCCAUUUGAUGCAAUUCUAGAUCAAAAUGUGCCACUAGGGCCAUUAUGAUUCUAAAAGAGUCCUUGCUCAAGACGGGAGAGAAUGUUUCAUUAUAAUCUAUCCCUUCUCGCUGAGUAAAACCCUUGGCUACCAGUCUUGCUUUGUACCUUUCUAUGUUCCCUUUGGAGUCACGUUUCACCUUGUAGACCCAUUUGGAGCCUACUGUUUUGGCUCCUUCAAGAAUUUCCUCUAGGUCCCAAACUUUAUUGGUACUCAUAGACUUUAAUUCAUCUUCCAUGGCUUCUUGCCACUUAGAUACUUCGGUGCUCCUCAUGGCUUCUUCAAAUGAAGUGGGUUCAUCCUCCAUCUGAACUUCUUUGCAUUCAUAGACUAUAUAGUCAUCUGGAAUAGGAGACUUUCUCGCUCUUUGAGGUCUACCAGAAGUUUCUGGUACUGGCAUUUCUUCUUGAGGUUGCUCUUGUUGGGGCUGCUGUUCUUCAACUAUGGGUUCAUUCGGCUCCUGAAGGACAAGUUCCGAAUUAGCCAUAGGCGAAAAAGCAGCAGGUGUUGUCACUACUAGUGUAGAUCCAACAACAACAGGCAGCGUAAAGUAGGGUUCUUGCACCAUGGGAAUGGGCACGAACACCCGCUUCUCUGCAAGGGUAAUUUCUCGCGCUGCCUUGCUCCCCCUGAUCAUCUGAUCUUCUAGAAAACUAGCGUGUCUCGGUUCCACAAACUUGGUAUGUCUACCAGGGCAGUAGAAACGAUAACCUUUUGACUUUUCUGGAUAGCCAAUAAAAUGACAACUUACUGUUUUGGGGUCUAGCUUUCCUAUGUUUGGGUUAAAUACUUUUGCUUCAGCAGGGCUCCCCCAGACACGCAAAUGGUUGACUGAGGGUUUCCUGCCGGUCCACAACUCAUACGGUGUUUUAAGUACUGACUUGCUUGGAACUCUGUUGAGAAUAUGAAUGGCGGUUUUUAAGGCCUCCAUCCACAAACUCAAUGCAGAGUGGAAUAGCUCAUCAUGCUGCGCACCAUAUCCAUUAGAGUACGGUGACGCCUUUCUGCUACUCCAUUCUGCUGUGGGUCCCCUGGCAUUGAAUACUGGGCUACUAUGCCAUUUUCCUGUAAGAACCUCGCAAAAGGUCCAGGAACUUGUCCAUAAGGGGUAUGUCGACCGUAGUACUCCCCCCCCCCCCACGGUCAGAUCUUACUACUUUGAUUUUUCUGUCUAGUUGGUUUUGAACCUCAGCCUUGAAUAUCUUAAAUUUGUCUAAAGCUUCUGAGCGUUCUUUGAUUGGAUAGAUAUAUCCAAAACGAGAGUAGUCAUCUGUGAAUGUGAUGAAGGAAUCAAAACCAUCCACAGAUGUCACUGGAAAAGGUCCACAGAUGUCUGUGUGGAUCAAUUCUAGUACUCCUGUGCUUCGCUUAGUGCCUUUCUUUAUGUUCUUUACUAACUUGCCUUUAAUGCAAUCGACGCAUUGCUCUAACUCUGAGAGUUCUAGUGGUGGGAGGAUUGAUUCUUUAACUAAGCGUUCUAUUCUCCCCCUCGAAAUGUGGCCUAAGCGACAGUGCCAUAAUUUCGAUGAGGAAUCAAUUCUCUUUCUUUUCUUGCUAGCAUCUGCGGGUAUUGCAUUCUCAGCAUUAUUACAUUCAGCAUUCACAUUCUCAGACAUAGAUAAUAAAUAAAGUUUGUCUUGUCGGAAGGCAAGACCCACACAUUUAUUAUUUAACUGUAGCUUACAAUCAUUCUUGCUGAAAUGGCAAUCAAAACCAUAGUCUGACAAACAUGAAACUAAAAUUAAAUUUCUAGCUAAAGAGGGGACAUAAAGAACAUCAUGCAACUCAAGUGUGAAGCCACUAGCUAAAUCUAGAGAUAAAUUUCCUAUAGCUUGAACUUCAGCAGCAACACCAGUGGCCACCUUAAUCUGUCUUUCUCAUCUUUGAAGGGUUCUCCCUCCACUGAAUCCCUGCAAAGAGUUUGCAACAUGAACAGUUGCACCUGAGUCAAUCCACCAUGUGGAUCUAGCAUAACUUAGAUAUAAGGAUUCAUCAACAAAAGUUAUAAUGUCCUCACCUUUCACUAGGCAAUGUUUCAUGAACUUAGGGUAUUCAUGCUUCCAAUGCCCUGUCUCAUUACACCAUCUACAGCGAUCCGGGUCCUCCUGCCUGUGCUGGUUGUCUUGCUUUGGCUGUGCUUUUGGCUGUGAAGAGCUUCCUCCCUUGUUCUCGGAGGUGGAGGCAUCUAGAGCUUUCUUGUUGUAGAAUGGUUUCUUGUUCUUUCCUUUCACAAAGUUCACAGAACCACCAUUUGCAUUCUUGAGCCUUUCUUCCUCUUGCACACACAUAGCAAUCACCUUCUCUAAAUCCCACUCCUCUGGCUGUGUGUUGUAGUUAACAACAAAUGUCUCAUACUCUUUAGGAAGUGAGUUUAGAGCUAGGUGAAUGAUGAAACCAUCAGCGAGGGGCAUCUUUAGCUUCUCUAACUUGGCUGCCAUGGUGCUCAUGCUCAGAAUGUGCUCUCUCACACUCCCCCCUGUGAACCUCAUGUUAGUGAGUUUCUGGAUCAGGGUGGAAGCAUGAGCUUUGGUGGAACCAGUAAACUGAUUCUUCACUUUCUCAAGGUAUUCUUUUGCUGUCUCACAUUCUGGGAUGGCACCUCUUAGGCCCUCUGUGAUGGUUUUCUUGAUGACAAUCUUGCAUUUGCGGUUUGACUUUUCCCACUUGUACUUCUCAAGAUCAUACUUUGCUAUGAUGGGAGCAAAGUCUCGCUUCCGAUUAGCAAAAGCUUCAUCGCUCUCAUUCUGAGCCCUUUCGGGCUCCUCUGGCUCAGUGGGCUUUGGCUCCUGAAGAGCCAAAUCUAUCUCAGCAAGUGCUAGAGCUGCAUCAAGUUCCUCGCGCCACAGAACAUAGUUCUGCCCCGUCAGCUUUGGGAUUGCACUGAUGAAGUGCAUCGCAUUCUGCGCUUGGUCUGAAAUUAAAUAUGAGAAAAUAGUGAGAACAUCAACAUUAAAUCUAGGAAAAAUAAUUGCAUAUCUUAAUUUAACGUUGGUCAAAAUCAAGAUAUACAAAAAUUAACUCUCUACAUAAAUUCUAAUCACUGUUGGGCAGAAUAGAAUAAAUACAUAAAAUUAGAACUUGGAAUUUGUAAUAUUGCUAUUAUUAACGUUGGUCAAAAAAUAACAAUAUCACAAAAAUACUAGGCUUUAAAACUCGUGUCUCAAAUUAAAUAUCCCGUUGGUUCAAUUUAAUAUGAGAACGAAAAAAUAACUUGCGCAGCGGAAAACAUUAAUUUAUUUACUAUUUUUAGAAGCAUAACUAGCUAACUGUGCUUUCUAAUUAAUAUACACGUUGGUGCAAAUUAAAUAGAAUUUAAAACUGAGCAAAACAAAUAUUUAAAUGCUUCUGAAAAUUAAAUAGAAUAUAAAAAAGGAGUUACAUUGCUUAAACGGGCCGUGGCCAACCAUUCGGCCCACGACCUCUUGCGGUCCAGCUCGGACGCUGGCCCAGCAGCGCACGGGUGCUUCUGAGUUUUUUUUAUUCUUGGCUGGUGGCACGCGGCCCAGCUAUCGGUUUUCGGCCCAGCCCAACGGCAUGCGUGCACGCGGGCGCUUGGCGGGCCGCAACCUGGGCCGGUGGCGCGCAUUCGGCCCAGCGCCGAAACCCGCCUGGGCUCAUUCUAGCCCAGCAGCCGCUGGUCGUCCGAUUUGCGGCCGUCGCGAUCGGACGGUAGAGUGCGCAGGUCGGAGGCAUAAAAGCCGCCGGCGCCAGGCUCUCUCUCCCAAACCCUAGUUUCUUUCUCCUUUGCUUCCUUCCUGACUCAGCAGCCGACGGCGCCGGCGCAGGAGCCAGACAGCCGCGGCAAGGGCCUCGCCGGCGCCGGUGAAGACGCCGUCGUUUCGGCCGCUCCCUUUCUCCUUUCUGUGCUUUCUUUUGCUUUUUCUCUCUCCAGUCCACUUGCGCCCAGCUGUAGAGAAGGACGCAGUGCUUUGCCGGCCGGAAAGAGUGGCGCCGCCGCGGUUCCUAUCGCCGGAGCGCGCGCUUCCCGUGGUGGGUGAGCGCGCCGCCGUCGAUAAGAGUCGCGAUGGUGCCCUGCGCUUGGCCCCCAUGCGGGAUUCCUCCCUGGUUUUGACCACCCCGGCCGCUAUGGUCGUGAGGCCGGGAUGGGCUAGCGCCCAGGUAGGGUGUUCCUUUAUUCUUUGUUGUUUGAUCUAUGCUUUUAGGGUUAGGAAAUCCCUUUUCUCGAUCUUUCGCGUUUGGAUCUGGGCGCUAGGUUUAGGGUUUGGGAAAAAAAAUAAAUCCUCUCCUUCUACUUGCUGGGCUUGUUGGGUAAAUCCCGAAAACCCCGAUCUAUUACUAGAUCGGCUGAUACCAUUGAUAGAUCUACAGGAUCUACUAGCAAUAGAAAGAACAGGGAUUCGGGAUACAUAAGUAACAUAGACAGUAACGUAAAUAUGCACACUAGAUCUAUUACAUAGGGAAUAGAAAUAGGUAGAUCUAGAGUAUAGGGUUUUGACCGUCGUUGGUGGCGGGUGCAGAUCCAGUGGGGCCCAUGGCGAGGGCGUUGACGCGGUGACGGAUUAGAUCCCGUCGUCCUUCGGGCCUCCAUCGGCACUGACCGACGACGGCGGGGUAGGAGUAGAAGGGUGACGGCGCGGUGGUGCUUCCCGACGCCACUGCACACUGUCGAUCGGCGACCUAGGGUUGUGAGUAGGGUUUGGCGGCGCACGACGAACUUCGUGUUGUGUGCCAGUAGCCCCCUACUCCUAUAUUUAUAGCGCAGCGCGUCGGGGGCCCACCAACCAUAGAUCGAUUGGGCGCCCCCGAUCAGGGCGCGAUCCAGGGGGAAAGGCCCCAGCCGUUGGGCUGGGCCUGAGAUCAAUCUAACACCAAAAAGUUUUUGGAUUUUGAGAUUAUAGCAUUUUUAUUUUUAUUUGACAAAUAUUGUUCAAUCAUAAAGUAACUAAGUUUAAAAGAUUUGUCUAGCGACUUACAGACAAACUGUACAAUUAGUUUUUGUUUUCAUCUAUAUUUAAUGCUCCAUGCAUGUGCCACCAGAUUCAAUGUAACGGAGAAUCUUGAAAAGUUUUUGGUUUUUAGGGUGAACUAAACAAGGCCUAAAUAACUAGUAGAUACAUAGUAUUUUAUUUCACAUGGAGGAAAGAGAACGUGAAAACUGAGGCCUUGUUUAGUUUCAAUUUUUUUUGCAAAAUAGAUACUGUGGCACAUUCGUUUGUAUUUGACAAAUAUUAUCCGAUCAUGAACUAAUUAGGAUCAAAAGAUUUGUCUCGCAAAUUACAAUUAGGGUUUUAUAAAUGCAUUCCCCCCAUCAACCUUUAUACUCACUUUGGCUUCCCCUUUUAUAGGACACUAUUACUUGGGGAAACCAGUUUACACUCCUAUCCUACGACACAGCGGCUAUGGUACAUUAAUGGAAUACGCUUAGCCACAAACAUAAUUUUAGGGUUACUUUGGGGCAUUCCACCUUGGCAACCGCCUUAAUUCAUGGGCCUUUUCUAGUGCCCACAGAGGCCCAUCUAUCACCUCAAGUUCUAGGCACCGUAGGGGCCUUCUCGUCAGCCUUCACUAGAAAAGCCCCGCCUUCCGCCGCGAUCUGGGCUCAUGCUACUCUGGACCUUCACUGCUACACUACCACCUUCGCCUUGUGCUCCAUCCAAGGAGGGUUCCGUGAUGCCUUUGCCCCUCAGAGCGGGACCUUCGCCAAUGUCGAGGGUGCGGGCGAAGGCUCCUGUCUUUGUUCCUGCCAAUCAAUGAUCAUGUUUCGUGCAUUGUUAGUCUUUUUUCGCUGGUGUAUCCCCUAGCUGCCAUAGCUCAUAGUUCCAUGUCCCAACAAUGUCUAAGAGCAAUUUCACUAGGAACCCUUAAAUUAGGGUUCCCACUUUUGAUUCGAGGGUUAUUCAACUUUUAAGUUUUUUUUGCAUCUAUUGUAACAACUCUCAAAUCCAUUUCAGUAGUCACGGAGACACAAACACAUGAGAUUCACUCGCCAUUCUCUUCCUAUGACCAUAACUACCUUCGCUCCAAUCAACUAAGCUAUGACUGACACGGGGUGGAGCAGCAGUAACCUCAUUAGGGAGGGGUUUGUGCCAAGGGCAGAGGAGCCGAUGAUGAGAGAGUAGCCACGUUGGGGACUGACCUUGUAAGAAUAGGGAAGGACCUCACUAGGGGAUGGGACAAGCACUAGGGAGAGGAGUCACGCUAGGGGAUCGAGGAUGGGGUAAUAAGGGUCUCGUUGGGACGGGGAAGGACCUCACUAGGGGACAAGACAGGAGCUAGGGAGAGGAGCCACAACGGGGAAGGAUCUCACACAUAGGCGGACAAACCUCACUGUGAGAGCCACGCUACAAGGAGGGAGACCCCUUAGGAAGGGGCACGCCGCUAUAGGGAGGGGAGUCACACCACUAAGGUGAGGGGCCUCAUCAGGGAGAGCCGCACCAAGGGAAGGACCUCCUAGGGACGGUGGAGCAUGCAAGCAACAUCGGAUGUGGAUAGAUGGACACUAUCCUCUUGCAUGCUAGGAGGAAAACGAUAACAAGUGUCAGUUGAGGGCCUAGAGUAGGGUCCCAAGAAAAUGAGGACUAGGAGGAAAAUUUGAGGGGCCUAUGAGUUUUUUUUUCUAGUCAUCAAAUUUGGUUUUGAGGGGUCAAGUAGGUGUCCUGCUAGAGAAGGCACCUCUAAUAAUAGUGAGAGUUAGAUAUCGACUCUUAGAUCCAUCUCAUUCAUAUGUUUUAUUUAUAUAUUCUCUCGUGUCAAGAGAGAGAGAUAAUUCAAGUCUCUCAUACAUUUUAGUACGUGCAAAGAGCUCGGCUUUUCUCAACUUCUCUCCACGCUAGUUCCACGCUAGUUCAAAGGUUUUUGGCCUCUCUCCCCUUUGUGUGGUAUCUGAUACUAGCUUAGAGCAAGUCCAAGAGAAGAGCUAUCCAUAUCAUGUAUUCUAUAUUUGGCUAUUUUGGGAGAGAAAAGAGAGUCCAACAGCUAUUGUAUUUGGUUUGCUAAAAUAGCAAGUCAUCUAUCCCGGAGUUCUCGUAUGGUAAAUAUAGCUUGCAUGUCCUGCUAGCCAUAUGAUUUGCCGUAUAGAAAGACCGUUGGAGAUUUUUAUUUUUUUACAUGAUUUUCUAUUUUAGAGGUUGGCUAAAUUUUGAAUUUAGCCAUCUAUUUUUAUCAACUCUCUUAGAGUUGCUCUUAGAGUUGUCCAAUAGAGAUGCCCUUAGCUAGCUCCCAAUUUAGAAUAUACCUAGACUAGAUCGAUAUCAGGCUUGAGAACGCAUAAUAGUUAGAUAUUUAUACCUAGUAGAUCGUUGGGUUUUAAACAAUACCAUACCUUUUUUUUGAGGGGAAAACGAUACCAUACGUGAAAUGGCUCACAUGAAUAUUAGGCCCGAAAACGGUUAUUGGCUAAACAGAAUUGGGCCUUAAAUGGGCGAUUAAAACAGCAAUGAUGCCUCCGUAGACUAGGAAUCGCAUAGACAAAAAGCUGUGACAUGCAUAUGCCUCGGGUGGGCUAUAAACAGGCCUGCGAUGCAGGCCUAUACACAGCCCAAUUUUUUUUGUGAACAAUACACAGCCCAAUUUGUGUACGUACAAGUGCCGGUUGCUUUUUCAGUUUCUUGCCCCAUGGGAAGCAUUCCCCAAUCGAAUCAUCACGUACGUACUUGACUCUGAUCCAUCAUAACACUUGGUGUCCACUAUGCACGCUCGUAGGCAUUGUUUACUUCCACCCAAAAUCUAAAAUUUUUUCAAGAUUUCGCGUCACAUCGAAUCUUUAGACGUAUGCAUGGAGUAUUAAAUAUAAACGAAAUUAAAAACUAAUUGCACAGUUUGAUCGAAAUUUACGAGACGAAUCAUUUGAGCCUAGUUAGUCCAUAAUUAAACAAUAAUUAUCAUAAACAAACAAAAGUGCUACAGUGUACCGAAAAAAUUUCGGCAAGGAACUAAACAAGGCCGUAGUAUGCUGUUAUAUGAUGGAAUCUAAAGAGCCCCAUUUUCUCUUUUAUCUUACCCUCCAGAUCGAGGCCACAAAAUCCUAGGUACAGAACAUCGUCUGUCAGAUGCAUCUGGUUGCAGCAAAGAUCCACACACAUUACAUAGAAUACGUGCACAGCACCAAAUGCAUGCAACGGCAACAUAUGCAUGCAGCACAAUUAGUUGUACAGUUUCCAUGAUUUACAAGCAAGUCCGGAUUCUUUUACUUCAGUAAACCAUCCUCAUAUUGCAAUGAUGGCAUGAUGCAUAUAUAGAGCGGGAGUGGUUAAGGUCGAUGAAUAAUGAAUCACUGAUGAAGCAGGGCAGACAAGGACACGGCAGCGGCGGCAGAGGCACACUGAGCCCACACAGAUGAAAUGAGCAAAUAUAUAGUACGUCGCGUGUAUAUGUUACUAUAUCUUAUUACUUGAACACAUCACUCUCAUGACUCAUGGAUGGAAAACAUCAUGCAUACAGUACAAUAUAUAAUGGACACAAAAGCUAGUAGUAUUCAUUAUUCAGGAAACCUGUGUGCUAAAGCAACAAGGUUAAAGGCAAGCAAACCCCCAAGGACGACGUUGAGUGCUGCUUUGCUAGCCUGCUACACACACACACACGUACGAUCGAGGUACACGACGACAGCCACAGCGACGACAGAGUUGGUGUAAACUCAAGGUAGUAAACAGUAAAUACUAAUUAAACGGAGUGAUCACUAACAGGUACGGUGCAUGCAUGAUCUACUCCUUAAUUUAUGUAUCUAUCUCAUUGCAUGCAUCAUCCAUGGAGGGAGUCAUGGACGACAUCUGGUAAAACAACGACGACUGCAUGCUGAUCGCCAUCCAACGAGCAUGCCUCAUGCAUGUCCUUAUGAUCGAUCAUCAGUUGAUCCUGCACGUACAUAACAUGAAAGAUAUCAAAUCAUGGUUAUCACACUCGAUCAUUAGCAGAAAAUCACUCAUAAUCACUGUGCAUUCAUGCAUGCAUGGACGACAUAUUUAAUCAAUUGGACAGGGUGAAAAACUCAGCCUAGGAGGCGUCGUACUUGGAGCAGUCGACGUUGGGACUAAUGGGCACGCCGACGGAGACGCCGCACUUGGAGGGGAUGCUGGCGGCGUUACCCAUGCUGACGCCGCCGCCGCCGCCGAGCCUGCUCGUCAUGCUCUUGAGGCAGGCGCAG
Molecule: long non-coding RNA, 27742 nt
Filed under: Sorghum bicolor (sorghum)
Lineage: Eukaryota; Viridiplantae; Streptophyta; Magnoliopsida; Poales; Poaceae
Description: long non-coding RNA (SBIC_LNC013492)
Source: RNAcentral